RNAcentral lists this ribosomal RNA (519 nucleotides) under uncultured bacterium. RNAcentral describes it as "bacterial SSU rRNA". It matches the Rfam family "Bacterial small subunit ribosomal RNA", at positions 8 to 526 of the family's 1533-position model. The record is from RNAcentral.
AGAGUUUGAUCAUGGCUCAGGACGAACGCUGGCGGCGUGCUUAACACAUGCAAGUCGAGCGGUAAGGCCCCUUCGGGGGUACACGAGCGGCGAACGGGUGAGUAACACGUGAGCAAUCUGCCCAUCACAUCGGGAUAACUCCGGGAAACCGAAGCUAAUACCGAAUACGACCACUUCAGGCAUCUGACGGUGGUGGAAAGUUCCGGCGGUGAUGGAUGAGCUCGCGGCCUAUCAGCUUGUUGGUGGGGUAAUGGCCCACCAAGGCUUCGACGGGUAGCCGGCCUGAGAGGGUUAUCCCCCACACUGGUACUGAGACACGGACCAGACUCCUACGGGAGGCAGCAGUGAGGAAUAUUGCGCAAUGGAGGCAACUCUGACGCAGCCAUGCCGCGUGCAGGAAGAAGGCGCUACGCGUUGUAAACUGCUUUUAUCAGGGAAGAAACCCUAGGACGUGUCCUGGGUUGACGGUACCUGAGGAAUAAGCACCGGCUAACUUCGUGCCAGCCGCCGCGGUAAUUC